AGGGUUCGAUUAUGGCUCAGGAUGAACGCUGGCGGCGUGCUUAACACAUGCAAGUCGAACGGGAAACAUUUUAAUGAAGCUUCGGCAGAUUUAGCUUGUUUCUAGUGGCGGACGGGUGAGUAACGCGUGGGUAACCUGCCUCACACUGGGGGAUAACAGUCAGAAAUGACUGCUAAUACCGCAUAAGCGCACGGGAUUGCAUGAUCCAGUGUGAAAAACUCCGGUGGUGUGAGAUGGACCCGCGUUGGAUUAGCCAGUUGGCAGGGUAACGGCCUACCAAAGCGACGAUCCAUAGCCGGCCUGAGAGGGUGGACGGCCACAUUGGGACUGAGACACGGCCCAG
RNAcentral lists this ribosomal RNA (343 nucleotides) under uncultured bacterium. Its description in RNAcentral is "bacterial SSU rRNA". It matches the Rfam family "Bacterial small subunit ribosomal RNA", at positions 8 to 334 of the family's 1533-position model. The record is from RNAcentral.